GAGCGGCCCGCGUCUGAUUAGCUAGUUGGUGAGGUAACGGCUCACCAAGGCGACGAUCAGUAGCUGGUCUAAGAGGAUGAUCAGCCUCACUGGGACUGAGACACGGCCCAGACUCCUACGGGAGGCAGCAGUGGGGAAUAUUGCACAAUGGGCGCAAGCCUGAUGCAGCAACGCCGCGUGCGGGAUGACGGCCUUCGGGUUGUAAACCGCUUUCAGUUCCGACGAAGCGCAAGUGACGGUAGGAACAGAAGAAGGACCGGCCAACUACGUGCCAGCAGCCGCGGUGAUACGUAGGGUCCGAGCGUUGUCCGGAAUUAUUGGGCGUAAAGGGCUUGUAGGCGGUUUGUCACGUCGGAAGUGAAAACUCAGGGCUUAACCCUGAGCCUGCUUCCGAUACGGGCAAACUAGAGGAAUGCAGGGGAGAAUGGAAUUCCUGGUGGAGCGGUGGAAUGCGCAGAUAUCAGGAGGAACACCGGUGGCGAAGGCGGUUCUCUGGGCAUUUCCUGACGCUGAGAAGCGAAAGCGUGGGGAGCAAACAGGCUUAGAUACCCUGGUAGUCCACGCCGUAAACGGUGGGCACUAGGUGU
This 587-nucleotide ribosomal RNA is filed under the name uncultured Actinomycetes bacterium. RNAcentral's name for it is "bacterial SSU rRNA". It matches the Rfam family "Bacterial small subunit ribosomal RNA", at positions 224 to 823 of the family's 1533-position model. The record is from RNAcentral. Lineage: Bacteria; Bacillati; Actinomycetota; Actinomycetes.